This 104-nucleotide small nuclear RNA is filed under the name Ochotona princeps (American pika). The record is from RNAcentral. Lineage: Eukaryota; Metazoa; Chordata; Mammalia; Lagomorpha; Ochotonidae.
GUUCUCGCUUCAGCAACACAUAUACUAAAAUUGAAACGAUGGAGAGAUUAGCAUGGCCCCCAUGCAAGAAUGACACCCAAGGAAUUGGGGCAUCCCGGGAGCUA